Molecule: ribosomal RNA, 917 nt
Filed under: Capnocytophaga canimorsus
Lineage: Bacteria; Pseudomonadati; Bacteroidota; Flavobacteriia; Flavobacteriales; Flavobacteriaceae
Description: bacterial SSU rRNA
Rfam family: Bacterial small subunit ribosomal RNA
Source: RNAcentral
CUAGCGGCAGGCCUAACACAUGCAAGUCGAGGGGUAGAGUGCUUCGGCACUUGAUGACCGGCGCACGGGUGCGUAACACGUGUCAAUCUACCUUUUGCUAAGGGAUAGCCCGAAGAANNCAUUUUCUANAGCCUUAAGUAUUGNUUNNCCCUAAGNUGUUGGGCAUCACUGAAUAAUUAAAGCUCUGGUGGCAAAAGAUGAGUACGCGUCCCAUUAGCUAGUUGGUGUGGUAACGGCAUCCAAGGCUACGAUGGGUAGGGGUCCUGAGAGGGAGGUCCCCGCACACUGGUACUGAGACACGGACCAGACUCCUACGGGAGGCAGCAGUGAGGAAUAUUGGACAAUGGUCGGAAGACUGAUCCAGCCAUGCCGCGUGCAGGAUGACGGCCUUAUGGGUUGUAAACUGCUUUUAUACAGGAAGAAUAAGGUCUACGAGUAGAUUGAUGACGGUACUGUAUGAAUAAGCAUCGGCUAACUCCGUGCCAGCAGCCGCGGUAAUACGGAGGAUGCGAGCGUUAUCCGGAAUCAUUGGGUUUAAAGGGUCCGUAGGCGGGCUUAUAAGUCAGAGGUGAAAGCACUGAGCUCAACUGAGUAACUGCCUUUGAAACUGUAGGUCUUGAAUGUUUGUGAAAGGGAAUGUGUAGUGUAGCGGUGAAUGCAUAGAUAUUACACAGAACACCGAUUGCGAAGGCAUGUUACUAACAAAUUAUUGACGCUGAUGGACGAAAGCGUGGGGAGCGAACAGGAUUAGAUACCCUGGUAGUCCACGCUGUAAACGAUGGAUACUACUGUUUGGGAGUAAUUUUGAGUGGCUAAGCAAGUGAUAAGUAUCCCACCUGGGGAGUCGCACGCAAGUGUGAAACUCAAAGGAAUUGACGGCGGGCCCGCACAAGCGGUGGAGCAUGUGGUUUAAUUCG